GACGUAGGGCGCGAGCGUUGUCCGGAAUUAUUGGGCGUAAAGAGCUCGCAGGCGGCCUGUUGCGUCCGCUGUGAAAGCCCGGGGCUUAACCCCGGGUCGGCAGUGGAUACGGGCAGGCUAGAGGUAGGUAGGGGAGAAUGGAAUUCCCGGUGUAGCGGUGAAAUGCUUAGAUAUCGUCCAGAACACCGAUAGCGAAGGCAGCUUACUAAGGAGUAACUGACGCUGAGGCACGAAAGUGUGGGGAUCAAACAGG
This 253-nucleotide ribosomal RNA is filed under the name uncultured bacterium. RNAcentral's name for it is "partial 16S ribosomal RNA". It matches the Rfam family "Bacterial small subunit ribosomal RNA", at positions 524 to 776 of the family's 1533-position model. The record is from RNAcentral.